This 71-nucleotide transfer RNA is filed under the name Bos taurus (domestic cattle). It matches the Rfam family "tRNA". Rfam says of the family: Transfer RNA (tRNA) molecules are approximately 80 nucleotides in length. Their secondary structure includes four short double-helical elements and three loops (D, anti-codon, and T loops). Further hydrogen bonds mediate the characteristic L-shaped molecular structure. tRNAs have two regions of fundamental functional importance: the anti-codon, which is responsible for specific mRNA codon recognition, and the 3' end, to which the tRNAs corresponding amino acid is attached (by aminoacyl-tRNA synthetases). tRNAs cope with the degeneracy of the genetic code in two manners: having more than one tRNA (with a specific anti-codon) for a particular amino acid; and 'wobble' base-pairing, i.e. permitting non-standard base-pairing at the 3rd anti-codon position. RNAcentral also lists the same sequence under 4 other names. The record is from Rfam by way of RNAcentral. Lineage: Eukaryota; Metazoa; Chordata; Mammalia; Artiodactyla; Bovidae.
UCCUGGUGGCUCAGAUGGUAAAGUGUCUGCCUGCAAUGCAGGAGACCCGAGUUCGAUCCCUGGAUCAGGAA